GUAGUCUCGCACAGAUGCAUAUCAAUAAGCGGAGGAAAAGAAACUAACAAGGAUUCCCCUAGUAACGGCGAGUGAAGCGGGAAGAGCUCAAAUUUGAAAUCUUAAAGGGUUUCCCUUUACGAAUUGUAGUUUAAAGAAGUGUUUUCUGUUGAGGUUUUGGUAAAAGUUCUUUGGAAUAGGACAUCAUAGAGGGUGAGAAUCCCGUAUUUGACCUUUACUUUCAACUUUGUGAUACACUUUCAAAGAGUCGGAUUGUUUGGGAAUGCAGUCCAAAAUGGGUGGUAAAUUUCAUCUAAAGCUAAAUAUUGGCGAGAGACCGAUAGCGAACAAGUACCGUGAGGGAAAGAUGAAAAGAACUUUGAAAAGAGAGUUAAACAGUACGUGAAAUUGUCAAAAGGGAAGCGUUUGACACCAGUGUUGUUUUUCUGAAAAUCAAUUAAAGAACUGUUUAUGCUAAGCUGUUUAGACUUUAUCAGCUAACUGUUUAGUUUUGAGCUUUUCUUUAAUGCACUUUUCAGUUAACAAGUCAACAUCAAUUUCUUUUGCUGUAAAAAAGCUUGAGGAAGGUGGCUUGAGAUUCGUCUUAAGUGUUUAUAGCCUCUUGCCUAUGCAGUCGGAGAGAUUGAGGUCUGCAGCGUAGAUCCUUCGGGGCUAAAUGCAUUUGUGCUAAGUUAUAGCAUUUUAUAGACAACUUGUUGACUAUGAUUUGUCUUGUAGCUUACUCGCUUAUGUUAUUUUACCUACGCUUAGGAUGUUGACGCGCGUGUGUGCGUG
This 774-nucleotide ribosomal RNA is filed under the name uncultured Neocallimastigales. RNAcentral's name for it is "partial large subunit ribosomal RNA". It matches the Rfam family "Eukaryotic large subunit ribosomal RNA", at positions 24 to 639 of the family's 3401-position model. The record is from RNAcentral. Lineage: Eukaryota; Fungi; Neocallimastigomycota; Neocallimastigomycetes; Neocallimastigales.